Molecule: long non-coding RNA, 492 nt
Organism: Octodon degus (degu)
Lineage: Eukaryota; Metazoa; Chordata; Mammalia; Rodentia; Octodontidae
Exons: 3
Source: RefSeq, a predicted model, not a curated record
UCUUCACUUUUGCUUCUUUCGUUAUAAUUCUCCACUAGACAACCUCUCCCACUAAUUGUGUAUUAGCCGUGUAUGUUAUCUUGGGCGCGGACGCACCGUGCUCUCGACGUGGUGUGGAAAGCAGCCUGGUUCAGCGCUGAAUUCAUAAAACAGCCUUCAUGGUUUGUGAAAGAAUAUCUGUGUACUUAGGCAGGAAACUUUUUGAUCUGCAGAAAAGCCAGAAGACCUCUAGGGUAUCCUCAAUGACUAUACAGAGAAAAUUUUAUUCAUCUUUAAAGUCAUGGAACUGAAAUGAAGACAUGUGAAACAGAAGCAAAACACACUCUAUAAAAUGAGUCUGUGAUGCUCCUAUGGAGAGAGCCUGCAGUUUGGGGUGGUGUACUCAAGUGGCUUAAGUGGGGACCCCAGAGAUUGUAUCGAGCUCCAGAAGAGCCCCAAUGAGUUGAGCUGCAAUGGUAGAAACCUCACAGGUCAUUAUUUUCUCUGUUAUGC